AAAGAUUAAGCCAUGCAUGUCUAAGUAUAAACGAUCUAAUCGUGAAACCGCGAAUGGCUCAUUAUAACAGCUAUAAUUUACUUGAUCUUGACACUAUCCUACUUGGAUAACUGUGGUAAUUCUAGAGCUAAUACAUGCAUUAAAGCUCUGACCUCACGGGAAGAGUGCACAUAUUAGAACAAAACCAAGCGGCUUCGGCUGUUUUCGGUUGACUCAUAGUAACUGAGCUGAUCGCACGGUCUUGCACCGGCGACGUGUCUUUCAAGUAUCUGCCGUAUCAACUUUCGAUGGUAGUGUAUCUGACGACCAUGGUGGUGACGGGUAACGGAGGAUAAGGGUUCGACUCCGGAGAAGGGGCCUGAGAAAUGGCCACUACGUCUAAGGAUGGCAGCAGGCGCGCAAAUUACCCACUCUCAGAAUGAGGAGGUAGUGACGAGAAAUAACGAGACCGUUCUCUACGAGGCCGGUCAUCGGAAUGGGUACAAUUUAAACCCUUUAACGAGUAUCUAUGAGAGGGCAAGUCUGGUGCCAGCAGCCGCGGUAAUUCCAGCUCUCAAAAUGCAUAGAAUUAUUGCUGCGGUUAAAAAGCUCGUAGUUGGAUCUGUGCCGUUGGACCCGGUCCACCUUAACGGGUGCGCACUGGGCUCCCCGGCUUUCUGCCGGUUUUCCUGUCGUGGCCUUAACUGGUUGCGGCGGGUGGCUGGCGAUUUUACUUUGAACAAAUCAGAGUGCUUAGAACAGGCGUUUCGCUUGAAUGUUCGUGCAUGGAAUAAUAGAAAAGGAUUUCGGCUCUAUUUUAUUGGUUUUAUAGACUGAGAUAAUGGUUAACAGAGACAAACGGGGGCAUUCGUAUUGCUGCGUGAGAGGUGAAAUUCUUGGACCGCAGCAAGACGAACUACAGCGAAAGCAUUUGCCAAGAAUG
Molecule: ribosomal RNA, 922 nt
Filed under: Pratylenchoides sp. PrChSp1
Lineage: Eukaryota; Metazoa; Nematoda; Chromadorea; Rhabditida; Merliniidae
Description: SSU rRNA
Rfam family: Eukaryotic small subunit ribosomal RNA
Source: RNAcentral